Molecule: ribosomal RNA, 1372 nt
Filed under: uncultured bacterium
Lineage: Bacteria
Description: bacterial SSU rRNA
Rfam family: Bacterial small subunit ribosomal RNA
Source: RNAcentral
GAUGAACGCUGGCGGCGUGCCUAAUACAUGCAAGUCGAGCGAACGGACGAGAAGCUUGCUUUUCUGAUGUUAGCGGCGGACGGGUGAGUAACACGUGGAUAACCUACCUAUAAGACUGGGAUAACUUCGGGAAACCGGAGCUAAUACCGGAUAAUAUUUUGAACCGCAUGGUUCAAAAGUGAAAGACGGUCUUGCUGUCACUUAUAGAUGGAUCCGCGCUGCAUUAGCUAGUUGGUAGGGUAACGGCUUACCAAGGCAACGAUGCAUAGCCGACCUGAGAGGGUGAUCGGCCACACUGGAACUGAGACACGGUCCAGACUCCUACGGGAGGCAGCAGUAGGGAAUCUUCCGCAAUGGGCGAAAGCCUGACGGAGCAACGCCGCGUGAGUGAUGAAGGUCUUCGGAUCGUAAAACUCUGUUAUUAGGGAAGAACAUAUGUGUAAGUAACUGUGCACAUCUUGACGGUACCUAAUCAGAAAGCCACGGCUAACUACGUGCCAGCAGCCGCGGUAAUACGUAGGUGGCAAGCGUUAUCCGGAAUUAUUGGGCGUAAAGCGCGCGUAGGCGGUUUUUUAAGUCUGAUGUGAAAGCCCACGGCUCAACCGUGGAGGGUCAUUGGAAACUGGAAAACUUGAGUGCAGAAGAGGAAAGUGGAAUUCCAUGUGUAGCGGUGAAAUGCGCAGAGAUGUGGAGGAACACCAGUGGCGAAGGCGACUUUCUGGUCUGUAACUGACGCUGAUGUGCGAAAGCGUGGGGAUCAAACAGGAUUAGAUGCCCUGGUAGUCCACGCCGUAAACGAUGAGUGCUAAGUGUUAGGGGGUUUCCGCCCCUUAGUGCUGCAGCUAACGCAUUAAGCACUCCGCCUGGGGAGUACGACCGCAAGGUUGAAACUCAAAGGAAUUGACGGGGGCCCGCACAAGCGGUGGAGCAUGUGGUUUAAUUCGAAGCAACGCGAAGAACCUUACCAAAUCUUGACAUCCUUUGACAACUCUAGAGAUAGAGCCUUCCCCUUCGGGGGACAAAGUGACAGGUGGUGCAUGGUUGUCGUCAGCUCGUGUCGUGAGAUGUUGGGUUAAGUCCCGCAACGAGCGCAACCCUUAAGCUUAGUUGCCAUCAUUAAGUUGGGCACUCUAAGUUGACUGCCGGUGACAAACCGGAGGAAGGUGGGGAUGACGUCAAAUCAUCAUGCCCCUUAUGAUUUGGGCUACACACGUGCUACAAUGGACAAUACAAAGGGCAGCGAAACCGCGAGGUCAAGCAAAUCCCAUAAAGUUGUUCUCAGUUCGGAUUGUAGUCUGCAACUCGACUACAUGAAGCUGGAAUCGCUAGUAAUCGUAGAUCAGCAUGCUACGGUGAAUACGUUCCCGGGUCU